This is a non-coding RNA of Oryzias latipes (Japanese medaka), 160 nucleotides long. The record is from RefSeq and is a predicted model, not a curated record. NCBI's taxonomy places the organism in Eukaryota, Metazoa, Chordata, Actinopteri, Beloniformes, Adrianichthyidae.
GCACUGUCAUUUCAAAUAGGAAAGGUAAAUAAUACAAUGGUUUGAAUCAUGGAUCUCUGGCUGUUUGUUUGUGCGCUAACAGGAGCACUGCUUAGUGUUUCCUUUGCUCAAACUCAUCAGUUCUACUUUGUGAACACUGAGCUGAGCUGGACAGAUGCUC